This 255-nucleotide ribosomal RNA is filed under the name uncultured bacterium. RNAcentral's name for it is "partial 16S ribosomal RNA". It matches the Rfam family "Bacterial small subunit ribosomal RNA", at positions 107 to 353 of the family's 1533-position model. The record is from RNAcentral.
CGAGUAAUACAUAAGUAACCUGCCCUAGACAGGGGGAUAACUAUUGGAAACGAUAGCUAAGACCGCAUAGGUACGGACACUGCAUGGUGACCGUAUUAAAAGUGCCUCAAAGCACUGGUAGAGGAUGGACUUAUGGCGCAUUAGCUGGUUGGCGGGGUAACGGCCCACCAAGGCGACGAUGCGUAGCCGACCUGAGAGGGUGACCGGCCACACUGGGACUGAGACACGGCCCAGACUCCUACGGGAGGCAGCAUG